CGUAGUUAAGUUACAUAUGGCGGAUAGCGGAUGCCUUGGUGAUGAACGGCGAUGAAGGACGUGGAAAACUGCGAUAAGCUUCGGUAAGCUGUUAACGAGCGUUAUAACCGGAGAUUUCCGAAUGGGAAAACCUAAUUGAGUAAACCUCAAUUAUCAUGCAGUGAAUACAUAGCUGUAUGAAGCGAACGGAGGGAAGUGAAACAUCUCAGUACCUCUAGGAAUAUAAAUCAAAAGAGAUUCCCAAAGUAGUGGCGAGCGAAAUGGGAUUAGCCUAAAUUGUAGGUGUGUAAGCUUGUGGGCGUUGCACUUACUUGGUCGUGGGAGUUAUUUUCGAUUUACCACAAUAAAUCGGCAGAGUUACAAAGUAAGAUAUUAUUUUAAAUACCUGGGAAGGUAUGCCAUAGAAGGUGAUAGCCCUGUGAAUUAAAAUGUCUUACCUCUGUUAAUAAUUUCCCGAGUAGAACGGAACACGAGAAAUUUUGUUUGAAUCUGGGAGGACCACCUUCCAAGGCUAAAUACGUGUCAUCAUCCGAUAGUGUACUAGUACCGUGAGGGAAAGGUGAAAAGAACCCCUGUGAGGGGAGUGAAAUAGAAUCUGAAACUGUCUGCCAACAAGCGGUCGGAGGGCUAUGUCUGAGUUUACUCAGAAAUGCCUGACGGCGUACCUUUUGCAUAAUGGGCCAGGGACUUAUCUUUAAUAGCAAGAUUAAGCCGUUAGGUGUAGUCGUAGCGAAAGCGAGUCUGAAUAGGGCGUUAGUUAUUGGAGAUAGACCCGAAGCGGGACGAUCUAGCCAUGGGCAGGGUGAAGCAUCAGGAAACUGAUGUGGAGGCCCGAACCGUUGAAGGGUGAAAACUUCUCGGAUGACCUGUGGUUAGGAGUGAAAGGCUAAUCAAGUUCCGUGAUAGCUGGUUCUCCUCGAAAUAUAUUUAGGUAUAGCCUCAUGCGUUCUCCUCUGGGGGUAGAGCACUGAUUGGACUAGGGGGUCGAAAGACUUACCAAACCCUAUCAAACUCCGAAUACCAGAGAUAGUAGCAUGGGAGUCAGUCUAUGGGUGCUAAGGUCCAUAGACGAAAGGGAAACAACCCAGAUCGCAAUCUAAGGUCCCCAAAUCUAGACUAAGUGGUUAAGGACGUAAAUUUUCAUAGACAGCCAGGAGGUAGGCUUAGAAGCAGCCAUCCUUUAAAGAUAGAGUAACAUCUCACUGGUCGAUGAGAGUUUGCACCGAAAAUGAAUCGGGGCUAAGUCUAGUACCGAAGAUGCGGAUUGUAUGUUUACAUACAGUGGUAGAGGAGCGUUCUUAUUGGAAUGAAGCAUUACCGUAAGGAGAUGUGGACUUAUAAGAAGUGAGAAUCCUGGCAUGAGUAGCGAUAAAAAUGGUGAGAAUCCAUUUCACCGUAAGCGUAAGGGUUCCUGGGCAAGGCUCGUCCUCCCAGGGUUAGUCGGGACCUAAGGCGAGGCCGAAAGGCGUAGUCGAUGGAAAACAGGUUAAUAUUCCUGUACCACCUAUUAGGAGUGAUGGGGUGACGGAGAAGGAUAGAUCAGCCGUGUGUUGGAUUACACGGUUCAAGCUUGUAGGAUUAAGAGAUUGGCAAAUCCGUCUCUUUUUAAGUCCGAGAAGUGAGUACGAGAGGCCCUAGGCCUCAUAAAGUGAUUGAUUCCAUGCUUCCUAGAAAAACCUCUAAAUGUUGAAUAAUAGGUGCUCGUACUGUAAACGGACACACGUACGCGGGUAGAGUAUACCAAGGUGUUUGAGAUAAUUAUGGCCAAGGAACUCGGCAAAAUAGCUCCGUAACUUCGGGAUAAGGAGUGCCUAUGUUAGGUGAAGGAUCUUGCAUCUGGAGCUGAGAUAGGUGACACUGAAAUGAUGGAAGCGACUGUUUACCAAAAACACAGGCCUGUGCUAACCCGCAAGGGGAUGUAUACGGGCUGACGCCUGCCCGGUGCUGGACGGUUAAGGGGACGGGUUAUCCUUCGGGAGAAGCUUGGAACCGAAGCCCCAGUAAACGGCGGCCGUAACUAUAACGGUCCUAAGGUAGCGAAAUUCCUUGUCGUCUAAUUAGCGACCCGCAUGAAUGGCGUAACGACUUCUGUACUGUCUCGGCCAUAAUCUCAGCGAAAUUGUAGUGCUGGUGAAGAUGCCAGCUUCCCGUUGUGGGACGGAAAGACCCCGUGCACCUUUACUAUAACCUAGCACUGGAUUUUGAUUUUAAAUGCGUAGGAUAGGUGGGAGACUAUGAAAGUUUAAUUUUGGUUAAGCUGGAGUCGUUGGUGAAAUACCACCCUUUUGAUGUUAGGAUUCUAACUUAAAUCCGUUAUCCGGAUUGAGGACAAUGUUAGGCGGGUAGUUUGACUGGGGCGGUUGACUCCUAAAGAGUAACGGAGUCGCUCAAAGGUUCUCUCAGCCUGAUUGGAAACCAGGCGUCGAGUGUAAUGGCACAAGAGAGCUUGACUGUGAGAUUGACAAAUCGAGCAGGUACGAAAGUAGGACAUAGUGACCCGGUGGCUUCCAUGUGGGAGGGCCAUCGAUCAUCGGAUAAAAGGUACGCCGGGGAUAACAGAUUAAUCGCGCCCAAGAGUUCACAUCGACGGCGCGGAUUGAUACCUCGAUGUCGGCUCAUCGCAUCCCGGGGCUGUAGAAGGUCCCAAGGGUUGAGCUGUUCGCUCAUUAAAGCGGUACGCGAGCUGGGUUCAGAACGUCGUGAGACAGUUCGGUCCCUAUCUACAACGGGCGAAGGAGAAUUGAGAGGGGUUGCUCAUAGUACGAGAGGACCUGAGUGAACAAACCUCUAGUGUACCAGUUGUUGUGCCAACAGCAGUGCUGGGUAGCUACGUUUGGAAAGGAUAACCGCUGAAAGCAUCUUAAGUGGGAAACCUGCCUCGAGAUUAAUUCUCCCGAACCAUUAGGUUCCUUAAGACCACUCGAAGACUACGAGUUUGAUAGGCACAGUGUGUAAGUUCAGUAAUGAAUUCAGCUAAUGUGUACUAAUCGGUCGUGAGCCUUAACUAC
RNAcentral lists this ribosomal RNA (3008 nucleotides) under Deltaproteobacteria bacterium TMED126. RNAcentral describes it as "23S ribosomal RNA". It matches the Rfam family "Bacterial large subunit ribosomal RNA". The record is from RNAcentral. Lineage: Bacteria; Deltaproteobacteria.